This 773-nucleotide ribosomal RNA is filed under the name uncultured bacterium. Its description in RNAcentral is "bacterial SSU rRNA". It matches the Rfam family "Bacterial small subunit ribosomal RNA", at positions 8 to 794 of the family's 1533-position model. The record is from RNAcentral.
AGAGUUUGAUCAUGGCUCAGGACGAACGCUGGCGGCACGCUUAACACAUGCAAGUCGAACGAGAGAAGAGGAGCUUGCUUUUCUGAUCUAGUGGCGGACGGGUGAGUAACACGUGAGCAAUCUGCCUUUCAGAGGGGGAUACCGAUUGGAAACGAUCGUUAAUACCGCAUAAUAUAAUUGAACCGCAUGAUUUGAUUAUCAAAGAUUUAUCGCUGAAAGAUGAGCUCGCGUCUGAUUAGCUAGUUGGUAAGGUAACGGCUUACCAAGGCGACGAUCAGUAGCCGGACUGAGAGGUUGAUCGGCCACAUUGGGACUGAGACACGGCCCAGACUCCUACGGGAGGCAGCAGUGGGGAAUAUUGCACAAUGGAGGAAACUCUGAUGCAGCGAUGCCGCGUGAGGGAAGAAGGUUUUAGGAUUGUAAACCUCCGUCUUCAGGGACGAAAAAAAGACGGUACCUGAGGAGGAAGCUCCGGCUAACUACGUGCCAGCAGCCGCGGUAAUACGUAGGGAGCGAGCGUUGUCCGGAAUUACUGGGUGUAAAGGGAGCGUAGGCGGGAUCGCAAGUCAGAUGUGAAAACUAUGGGCUUAACCCAUAAACUGCAUUUGAAACUGUGGUUCUUGAGUGAAGUAGAGGUAAGCGGAAUUCCUAGUGUAGCGGUGAAAUGCGUAGAUAUUAGGAGGAACAUCAGUGGCGAAGGCGGCUUACUGGGCUUUAACUGACGCUGAGGCUCGAAAGCGUGGGGAGCAAACAGGAUUAGAUACCCUGGUAGU